RNAcentral lists this long non-coding RNA (2113 nucleotides) under Medicago truncatula (barrel medic). RNAcentral describes it as "lncRNA gene21939". Lineage: Eukaryota; Viridiplantae; Streptophyta; Magnoliopsida; Fabales; Fabaceae. The record is from RNAcentral.
AGGGUGUCAUGGUUGAGACUCGAAGCCUUGAGUACCCAUAAUUGGUUGAGACUCUUCAUUUCCUUCUUAGAGCCUUACAAUUAUCCUCAAAAUAAAAUAAAAUAUGUAAUUUUUUCUCAAGAUCAAAGAUAAUAUAAGUGUAGACCAAAUUAUUAAACUUGGCACUAAUGUCAUAAUAAUAUGAGUGCCUAGAACCCAAUUUAAACAUAAACAAUAAUCCAACAAAUUUUAAAGAAAAACAUAUAUAGGUAAAAUAAUAAAUAUCAACUUUAUUCUCGGACACAAACACCUUGAUACUACUCCUCAGUCUUGUCAUGAGGAUAACCUACAUAUAAUAAUAAAAAAGAAAUACAUAGAAAAUAGGAUGUGAGAUUCUAUAAUGGAAAAACAUAUAUUCAAAUAUAAUAUAUAGAUAAGUAGGAUAUAAGCGUGUAGCGGGAAUCAAACCCGCGUCGUUAGCUGUGAAGUCUAAGAAUUAUAGUCGACAUCCAAUCAUGAACAUCUUUAAUUCAAAAUUGAACGUGAAACUUUUGUUUCAUUAAGAUCUUUUACAAAAUAAAUUAAGAGAUAGAUGGAAUACAUGAAAAAAAUGAUACAUAACAUCUAUCUCAACUUUAGGUAUGAAUACAUAUGUUAUACGAAACUUAAAGUGGUAUAAAAGUAGUAAUGCAUAGAAACAAACACAUGAAUAUACUCUGAGAUAGGUAGAAUAUGGUGAAUAUGGAAUUAAAAGAUGAACACCACCCCUCAGGAUGAACAUCAACACAUCACACUCUCACUAGUAUUAGAAUGUUAGGUGCCUACUCAGAGUUUCUCAACUAUAUAAAUAUGCCCUAAAAACAACGAAUCAUAAAGAAUCACUAGGGUUUCAAUCUAACAUUGUUUUUGUGUUUUUUUUUUUAAUUACGGAUCGUGUAGACAUGUUUAGUGAUUUUUGACUUGUAUGUGUAAUUAAUCUCUUCAGAAAAAUUUGAUAUUGUUUAUUGGUUGUACAUGUUGUGGUGUACUCAAGUAUGUGUUGAAGUUAUUAUAGCAUUCGUUAUGUUUUUCGAUAUUCUUAAGCGGAAGAAAGAUUCAGUACACAUCUGAACGAAUAUGGUAAAACAGUUUUUCAACUAAUAUAUAUGUUGGGUAAACCAAGAUCUACCAAGGAUUAAAAUGGUUCAUUUUUUGACUCUUAAGAGUAUACUUUAAGUUAUAUACUUUGUCAUUAUAUUAUCUAUAAUAUAACUGUGUUAUUUUAAAUGUUUGUGAGUGUAAGAGCAUGAAGAUCAUCUUUGAUAUUCGAUAUUUGAUUUAUGUAAGAUAUGUCAUAGAUGUUAUAUUUUUCAUAUGUAAUAACAUAAUUUUUUACUUGGUAUGUCUAUUCCGACCUAAGUUAUGGACUUUGAUCAACUUAUAACAUUUAAUUUCCAUGAGAAGUAACGUGACGCUUUCAGAUUGUAAGCGAGAGAAUUUGUGGCAUCAUACUUUACCAGUUUCAUUGUCAAAAAUUACUUUAGCAUGCAUCAAAUACCUAUGAAUGAUAUAAAAUUAAAUUUAAUGAUGAUUAGGUUAGGGAUGUGUGGUAGCUUAUUUGUGCGUUGUACUUACUUCUAUCCCCUAAUUUUGAAGUUUAUAGUCUUAGUCCCUAUUUAAAAUGAUUCCUUUUAUAGGGCUUAUUUAUGUGUUGUACUCUCUUUUCAAUUUAAUAUAUAUAUACCACGAAAAAAAAUAUUAAAAUGGUUCUAAUUCGAUUAAAGAAAUUGCAAAGUUGAAGAAGCACAUGAAAGAUUAAGACAAAUUAUAAUAGUAAUAAUGUUAUAAUGAGAAAAUAAAAUAAAAGGCUUAGACCUAAUAGAGAAAUAUGUCUACCUUACUUGGGAUAGCUCACACAAUUUCCAUUAUCGCACCACAAAUGAUGUGCAUUAACGCCAGGAAAUUUUUUCUGGCAUUCGGUGUCAGUAUCACACUCUCCUGUAAUGUAAAAUAAGGAUAAAGAAAUAUUACCAAAUAUGAGUGAAAUAUUUUGUAUAAGAUAAAAAAAAUGAGAAUGAACUUACUGUCACCAUAAAUUACAAGAAGAUACAAAGAAACAAAAAGGAUAGCAUUAUAAACAAACUUGAGAAUUUCA